This 101-nucleotide ribosomal RNA is filed under the name uncultured bacterium. RNAcentral describes it as "partial 16S ribosomal RNA". It matches the Rfam family "Bacterial small subunit ribosomal RNA", at positions 1386 to 1482 of the family's 1533-position model. The record is from RNAcentral.
CACACCGCCCGUCACGUCAUGAAAAGUUGGAGACGCCUGAAGUCGGUCAGCCAACCCUUCGGGGGAGGCAGCCGCCGAGGGUGGUGCCAGCGAUUGGGACG